Small nuclear RNA from Rattus norvegicus (Norway rat), 107 nucleotides. The record is from Ensembl. Lineage: Eukaryota; Metazoa; Chordata; Mammalia; Rodentia; Muridae.
GUGCUCGCUUCGGCAGCACGUAUACUAAAACUGGAAAGAUACAGAGAAGAUUAGCAUGGCCCCCGUGCAAGGAUGACACGCAAAUUCCUAAGAACUCAAGAAGUUAG